RNAcentral lists this ribosomal RNA (355 nucleotides) under uncultured bacterium. Its description in RNAcentral is "bacterial SSU rRNA". It matches the Rfam family "Bacterial small subunit ribosomal RNA", at positions 1 to 334 of the family's 1533-position model. The record is from RNAcentral.
CUAUGCGCCUUGCCAGCCCGCUCAGUCAGAGUUUGAUCCUGGCUCAGGACGAACGCUGGCGGCGUGCUUAACACAUGCAAGUCGAACGGAAAGGCCCACCACCUUGGUGGUGGGUACUCGAGUGGCGAACGGGUGAGUAACACGUGGGUGAUCUGCCCCGCACUGUGGGAUAAGCCUGGGAAACUGGGUCUAAUACCACAUACGACCACACUGUAGACAGUGUGGUGGAAAGCUUUUGCGGUGUGGGAUGAGCCCGCGGCCUAUCAGCUUGUUGGUGGGUAAUGCCUACCAAGGCGGCGACGGGUAGCCGGCCUGAGAGGGUGGACGGCCACAUUGGGACUGAGACACGGCCCAG